Molecule: ribosomal RNA, 465 nt
Filed under: uncultured bacterium
Lineage: Bacteria
Description: partial 16S ribosomal RNA
Rfam family: Bacterial small subunit ribosomal RNA
Source: RNAcentral
GAUGAACGCUGGCGGCGUGCUUAACACAUGCAAGUCGAACGGAAAGGCUCCUGCUUGCAGGGGUACUCGAGUGGCGAACGGGUGAGUAACACGUGGGUGAUCUGCCCUGCACUUCGGGAUAAGCCUGGGAAACUGGGUCUAAUACCGGAUAGGACGAUGGUUUGGAUGCCAUUGUGGAAAGUUUUUUCGGUGUGGGAUGAGCUCGCGGCCUAUCAGCUUGUUGGUGGGGUAAUGGCCUACCAAGGCGUCGACGGGUAGCCGGCCUGCGAGGGUGACGGCCACAUUGGGACUGAGAUACGGCCCAGACUCCUACGGGAGGCAGCAGUGGGGAAUAUUGCACAAUGGGCGCAAGCCUGAUGCAGCGACGCCGCGUGGGGGAUGACGGCCUUCGGGUUGUAAACUCCUUUCGCUAGGGACGAAGCGCAAGUGACGGUACCUGGAGAAGAAGCACCGGCUAACUACGUG